RNAcentral lists this long non-coding RNA (5296 nucleotides) under Nicotiana tabacum (common tobacco). RNAcentral describes it as "long non-coding RNA (NTAB_LNC006180)". The record is from RNAcentral. Lineage: Eukaryota; Viridiplantae; Streptophyta; Magnoliopsida; Solanales; Solanaceae.
CCUAACGAAUUAAGAAAAUGAGCAAGUAUUUUGUAAAAAAAAAAAACUUUAUCUCAAAAAUUUAAUCUAUUUCUACCACACUACUUAAGAAAAGAAUUAGCAUACAACCUUAGCAUAUUUGGAGCAUGUCAGAAAGACUUGCCACGUCGACCUCAAAAUUGGUAGCUACUAUUAGUAAGUAGUGAGAUAGAUAAGAUAAUUAACUUUGGGUAACAUACACCCUUACCGUUUUAGCAAAAUCACAACUAUGUCGUCCCUUGACUGCCUUGAUUUCAAAACCCAGUAAAUUAAAAUUAGCAUGCUUCAAAAACUCCAGUAUUAUGAGGUAACUCUAAAAAAAAUGGUAUGAUCUGAAGCAGCUCCAAGAACCAGAUGCUAAUGAGCUAAAGGCUGAAGCUCUUAUGAUCUUAUGGACACACCAUAAUCAGUGUAGCAUACUAUAGUUAUUAUCUAGUGGCAUAAAAAAUAUUAACAAAAUUGGCAGUCAUGAGAGAGACGAAGAAGCUUGAAAUUAAAGUCAUAGGACACAUAGCAUACAAUGGGAAUGAAGAGAAAUGGAUCAGCCAGAUUCUGAAGAAAAAGGAAAAAACCUAGAACACCAGGCAGUAACUUUGCAGGUGACAACUUAAAAGUUAAAAGUAUUGAAGAUUCUAAUAUGUAACCAGCUAUUAAAAAAGAAUUUAUGUAAAACACUUUAUAAAGGAUCUAUGUAAAAAAGUUCAUAGACAAGGAGAUAUAUUUUUGUACAAGUUGCGUAUUAGCUCGCAUAUCAAUAUUCAACUUGCAGAUAUUAUUGACGUGUUAAUAAAGCAUGAAGAAUAACUUAGUAAUGCAGGAAUUAUGGACUACAAUAGGAAAAUAGUAAACAGGUAAACUAACCUAAUAUGACAGUAGCAAAAAAUAACUACAACAACAUCCAAAAGGCAGCAGAAAAAGUGGCAUCAACCGUUUUGAAAAACAUCAGCAAAAGUGGCUUCAAUCACAUCCAUAAGCAGCACAGGUGUACGUGCUCAAUGUAGGAAAUUUUCAACUUCUACUCAUAGUUCUCCACCUUUUCAGAGCUCAAAUCCAGCAAAUCCUUUUAAGAAAAAGGAUGAUAGCAAUUAAAAAGCGAUGCAAUCUGAUAUAAAUAGCUGGUAUAGAUACAGAGUUUAAAAUAGACGCAAAUAUUAUAAUCUACGACUAUAAUAACUAUAGGAUAAUCACACAGAUCAUGUGCGUGCUAUUGGGAGCUGUAGUAAAGCUACAUUUAAAGUUGAUAGACUUGUUGAACUAAGAAACUAAAAGUCACAACUUUUGGUUUUGAGUGUGGUGAGGAGCUAUUUUUGAAACUUCUAACACAAUAAAUGACUAAACCUAGAUACUUCUAAAGAGAAGAUACAUAGUGUGCACAUGUUCAAUAUGCUAAGAUAGUAGCAAUUUCAUAUUCAUCAUCAGUAGCCUUCCAUUUGACAAGAUAUUUCACUUGAAAAGCACAUAGUAGAAAAAUAGUGAAAAAAGAAUUUAGAAGAUAGAAACAUAACGCAUAAAUUGCAUACUCCUCACUACUUGUUAGGUCCUUGAACCUAGAUAGGCACUUUGGUAUAAGGGACGUUUCCAUUACAUUGCAUUGCAUCUCGUCACACCUCCUCUGGCACGAGGUCACAUUUAGCUCAAUCAAUUUCUUCUUGGAACUGUAUUUUAGACACCAAAUGAUUAAACAUAAAAAUAUCACUUAAACAUAUCUCACUUCAAUUUAUACUCUAUCCAGAAGGUCAGAAAUGUGAAUCACUCAUUUAUCUGACAUACACUCUAUAAGCCAUGAGGUUGCCUUCUCACAGCUAUUUCCUCAGGAAUAAUAUUCCAAUACAUGUGAAACCAAUAAGUACCCAUCAGCUUAUUUCAUAAAAUACAAUUUUAAUACUCCACUCAAUAAAAUAUACGACCCUCCAUUACAAAUUAAAGCAGCCACAAAAACUUGUUAUAGUUUAUCUUGGAAGUGAGAAGUUCAUCUGUUACCUCUCAAAUAUAAGCUACCUAUUAUCCAUUACUAGCUCCCUCUUCUUCUUGAAUUUCACAGGAGAGAACAACUCUUGCAUGAUUUAAAUCGCACCUUUUCUGGCUCCUCAUUAAACAACAACUCCUCACACUUGAUUUCAUGAAGAACUGCAAAUCUGCUCUCCAGUAACAACUAAGAAGCGAUUCAUUAGAGUUAGUUACACUUUAUUUUUGAGUUAGCUGUGAGACUCUAGUGCAACAAAUCAAUCAAUGAAAAGUUAUAACCAGUGAGCAAUACACAUUAUGAACAUAACAAACUCUUUAAUAGCAGGGAGAACAUCAAAGAAGGUUGAAGAAACUUGUCUUACCAAGAACAUCAUAAGAGCAAGACAACUUGAUAUAAACCAGGUAAAAACUCUACUGAGAUCUAAUUUAAUGGACAUUUUUGCCAUAUUACAUACAACUCAUGAAUCAAAUAGCGCAGUUUAGGUUUGCGAUUAUUAGGUUAUAGAAAUUAUUGAAAUUCAUUAACUAAAAGCAUGCCCAAAUGAACAAUAACGUAAACAAACACUAAUGUAAACUAUCAAGCCUGUAUGUAUUUAUCGAUAUACUGCAACUGAACCACGAUAUCUAAAGUUAAGGGCCAUAUGGUAGGAACUUAAGGCUAAAGUCUUUCCGUGUCACAUGUACCAUUGUUACAACAACCCGACUACAGUAAGGCAAGAGUAGGCAUUGUUUUUGUUGAUCGGUGGCACUCAAAAAAAGAUAACUGAAAUCAAUGUAUUUUUUCAAUAAGGUCUUAGGCUACAUUAUUAAAGCAAGGCAAGCUGUGGUUACUUGAUAUGAGAAGUUCCACAUUUGUCCAAAAGCGCAUUUUCUUUUUCGUCCUAGUAAAUAGGCUAUUGUGAAAUAUUCUGUAUAAAUAAGUAAAGGUAAAAAUCUCAUUUUACUUUAUGUUUUUUUUAUUGGCUUUCCCAAAUCUUUCAUCAGAACUUCGGGUCAUUGUUGACCGAUCAUUAUGACAAGCUGGACACAUAUUAGUCUACUUAGUAUUGGCUAGUAUAUAGAUGAACACAUUCGUAUUGAGUUAUAUUCCUUUACAUCUCAACUUAUGGAAUUGCUAGUUGUUUGUAUCAUCACGAAAUUGGAUCGUAAAUAUAUUAUUAGCAAGAAAUACAGAGCUAAAAAGUAAAUUGACCACUAUUGCACUAUUUUUCGCCAAGUAUAUUGUCACAUUUUAAGUGAUACUAUCAUACUAUGGACAUAUGUUUUACAAUUUCACUUAAAAAGAAACUAAAUUUUGCUGAGGAGCUUCAGCGGAUAGGAGACACAAUUAUCGCCCACAAGUACACAGUGGCAAACAUCCGAUCAAGUUGCCUAUACACACCUUUUUAUCAUAUAGGUUCUUAAGUUUCCUUUUCACUUAAUUAAUCUAUAUUAUUAUAAAAGCAUGAAUACAAUAUCUGUUUACAAAAAUAACCUUAUAAUAUUAAGCAUAAUAACUUAUAAUAAAACAUAACCUGAAUUCUAGAUAUUAGCCUUAUAAUCCUAUUAGUUUUAGGACAUAAUACUACACGUUAUGAAUUCUAGAAAAGCAUGAAAAAGUAAUACUUACAGUUAAAAGUUCAUAAGCAUUCUACAAUUUAAACUUCAAAAGAGAUGGUGAAAACCAGAACGACUUUUUCGUUGCUUGGCAUAUAAUCACUAUUCACAUAUUUAUUUUAGAAAUUGUGCUAUACAUAUAUGUAAUAUCCAGAUUUUGUGUAAAUAUCUUACAUUCGCCACCCCCAAAAAUAUGCACAUGCAUAUAUCAUUGAUUAAUUUAUCUAUCUAUAUCUAUAUUUAUUUAUAUCUAUAUCUAUCAAUAUCUAUAUCUAUAUCUAUAUUAUUAUAAAAGCACGAAUGUUCUGCGUUAAAUGUUGAACGACCAAAAUAUCCUCCAAAUAUUGAUCGACUUGUACGUCCUUUAUUAAUUAGAGAUAUCUCUAUAAUAUUAAUGUGCUAAAACGUAAAAGUACUUCAUUAUUUGUAGAGUUCAAGUCAAAUUGUAAAACCUUAAAAAUUAUGCCUCAUAAUAUGAAUUCAUCCAAAUCAAUGAUUGUGUUCAAGUGAAAUUGGAAGUCUUCCGCUUCUGGAUAUUAAGAGAGUCUUGAAAUAAAGCAAAUCAAACCAGCUCAUGAUUAUGCCCAAGUAAUACCCUUUUAUUAUUCCCGAUUCAAAUCAACGGCAAAGCAUAACAGAAGAAAGAUGUAAAGCAAUUUGUAUCCAAACUAGGAGCUCAUGAUUCUUGCCGAGUUCAUAGAAUGCUUGGAUUUAGCUUUACAAUUGGAAGUUUUAAUUAUGAUUUAAACAAUAAAUAUUAAAGCACAGGGGUUAGCAAUCCCAAAAAUUAGAUUGUAUUUGUCGCUAUAUGUUUUCUCACACGAAUACCUAUAUAUUUUACUUUUCGGAGAAAAAUUAAUGUCGUAAAUAGAUCAAGAUGGAGUAACCAAAGAAUCAAAAGGGAAAAUACACCCAAAAUAUCAUCUAUAAAGAAAGUAUUAGAUAAGAUACGAUCUCACUACAUAUUUCUAUGAUAUAAAUAGAUAUACUAUCUAAUUAACUUAACUAAAUUACUUAUAUUUGCAUUUUGACUUCAAGUAUUAAAACGAUUUUUGCCUCUUCGAUUUUUCACUUCAAUUGCUAUAUUAAAAAAUUCAUAUAAAUAAUUGAUUAAAUAUUUACCUGCAAAGCAGGUACAUAGAGACUAGUAUAUUAAAAGAAAAAGUAUCAGUCAAUAAUAUUUAUUUUUUGAUCAAAAAAACUACAAACUUUGUAAAAUAAAUCUAAUACAAACACUCCCGGCAAAAAAACAAAGAUAAUGGUUGUACUCGGAAAAAGAAUUGCAUGCUAAUAUUUCCAAAAGCAUAUAAACAAAUAAAAAGAAUUUCAUCAGCGUAAGCGGUAAGCGACUGGUUUUAAGCAAAUACAUGUAGCCUGGUAUGUAAAGGCCUCAAGAAAUAAUUAUAAAAAUUCCUAAAUAAAGAUUUUUUUUUUUUUAAAAGUCGAACUCACCGCAAUCGAGAACAAAAAAGCCUUGGUGCCCAUCAUCAAUUUCCCAUUCAAGUAUCUAACAGAUAAAUCAGUGAUGAGCAAAGGAGAUAAGAAUAGAGCCAGUUCGAGCUCCAAGGAGAAGAGGUUCAAGGAACCGAACAACAGAAGAGGAAGAUAACAAAAUAACCUUGCAAUUCCUAUUAGCUAUAGCUAAUUAGUGCACUUGAUCCUCUCUCAAUCUUGAUGAUAGAGAAAAAAGCGUAAUAUCUGAAAAGGAGAUUUCAGA